UACGUAGGGGGCCAGCGUUGUUCGGAAUUACUGGGUGUAAAGGGUUCGUAGGCGGUGUGGCAAGUCGGGAGUGAAAUCUCUGGGCUCAACCCAGAGUCUGCUUCCGAAACUGCUGUGCUUGAGUGUGGGAGAGGCGCGUGGAAUUGCAGGUGUAGCGGUGAAAUGCGUAGAUAUCUGCAGGAACACCCGUGGCGAAGGCGGGUCUCUGGGUCGAUACUGACGCUGAGGAGCGAAAGCGUGGGGAGCGAACAGG
This 253-nucleotide ribosomal RNA is filed under the name uncultured bacterium. Its description in RNAcentral is "partial 16S ribosomal RNA". It matches the Rfam family "Bacterial small subunit ribosomal RNA", at positions 524 to 776 of the family's 1533-position model. The record is from RNAcentral.